UUGCAGACAAUUCUUUGAAGCUGGAUGAUGAGCUGUACGAGGUGAAGCCUGGUCUCUCCAGCUACGCCGAUGAUCCUGUUGAGGGAGCCAAAUCAUUAUUGCCAUUGCUGGAGCUUGCCAAGGGCCGCAUUCCUCGCCAGGCUUGGGCUUCCACACCCUUGGUCUUGAAAGCUACGGCAGGUCUUCGACUCCUUCCAAGUGAGAAGGCUGAGGCACUACUACAGGAGGU
Homarus americanus (American lobster) is the source of this 229-nucleotide long non-coding RNA. RefSeq lists it as uncharacterized. The transcript is spliced from 2 exons. Lineage: Eukaryota; Metazoa; Arthropoda; Malacostraca; Decapoda; Nephropidae. The record is from RefSeq and is a predicted model, not a curated record.